RNAcentral lists this ribosomal RNA (305 nucleotides) under uncultured bacterium. RNAcentral's name for it is "bacterial SSU rRNA". It matches the Rfam family "Bacterial small subunit ribosomal RNA", at positions 337 to 635 of the family's 1533-position model. The record is from RNAcentral.
ACCUACGGGGGGCAGCAGUAGGGAAUUUUCGUCAAUGGGCGCAAGCCUGAACGAGCAAUGCCGCGUGAACGAGGAAGGUCUUCGGAUCGUAAAGUUCUGUUGAAGGGGAAAAAGAGCAGAGAGAGGAAAUGGUCUCCGAUUGAUAUUACCCUUCGAGGAAGUCACGGCUAACUACGUGCCAGCAGCCGCGGUAAUACGUAGGUGGCGAGCGUUAUCCGGAAUGAUUGGGCGUAAAGGGUGCGUAGGCGGCCUGCUAAGUCUGGAGUGAAAAGUACCGGCUCAACCGGUACAGGCUCUGGAAACUG